Molecule: ribosomal RNA, 420 nt
Filed under: bacterium
Lineage: Bacteria
Description: partial 16S ribosomal RNA
Rfam family: Bacterial small subunit ribosomal RNA
Source: RNAcentral
UGGGGGAUAUUGCACAAUGGGCGAAAGCCUGAUGCAGCGACGCCGCGUGGGGGAUGAAGGCUUUCGGGUUGUAAACCUCUUUCGCUAUCGAACAAGGCCCGCUUAGGGUGGGUUGAGGGUAGGUGGAGAAGAAGCGCCGGCUAACUACGUGCCAGCAGCCGCGGUAAUACGUAGGGCGCGAGCGUUGUCCGGAAUUAUUGGGCGUAAAGGGCUUGUAGGCGGCUUGUUGCGCCUGCUGUGAAAACGCGGGGCUUAACUUCGCGCGUGCAGUGGGUACGGGCAGGCUUGAGUGUGGUAGGGGUGACUGGAAUUCCAGGUCUAGCGGUGGAAUGCGCAGAUAUCUGGAGGAACACCGAUGGCGAAGGCAGGUCACUGGGCCAUUACUGACGCUGAGGAGCGAAAGCAUGGGUAGCGAACAGG